UCUUUCUCCCGGUUCUAUUGCGUCUGGUAGGAAGCUUUCUAUUUUUGUCAGUCCCAGGCUUUCUCUCUGCCAUCGCAGAUUGCUUUUGGAGUUUGUUUGUCUCGUUUCCAAUUUGUUCUGACUUUGUACCUAUUGCUUCUUGUUUGGUUGAUUGGCUUGGACUGCAUAUUCAAGGUUUGUAUUGUUAUUACAAACUUUAUCUUUGGUUUAUUCUUUUUUGUUUUUCAAUAGAUUUUGUGUGUUUUUUUUUUGGUCCUUUAAUUGAAGUGUUCAAUUUUGAUUUUUUUUUCUUUUGCAGGGUUUGAUUUUGUUUGUUUGUUUGUUUCAUUUUAAAGGUUUGAACUUGUUUCUUGUUUUAUUUGUUAUCCUAUAUAUUGUAUAUUUGGUGUAUUGUUUCUUUUUCAUCUAACAAUGGAGCUAUUUUUGCAACUGUAUAAAGGUAUGUAUGCAUUUUCAUUGAUUUAAUUUGCUAUUUGGUUGUUAGUGCUUAUUGGUUUCUAUUCUCUUGCCUUUAUUUUCGGUUUGGUGGGUGAGGUUUUUGUUUCCUGGAUUUUCUUCCUCUGUUAGAUGCCCCUUUCCUUGUAUCUUCCUCUUUGGUACUUUUUGUAUN
This 610-nucleotide long non-coding RNA is filed under the name Trifolium pratense (red clover). Its description in RNAcentral is "long non-coding RNA (TPRA_LNC006817)". Lineage: Eukaryota; Viridiplantae; Streptophyta; Magnoliopsida; Fabales; Fabaceae. The record is from RNAcentral.